UCUUCCCUCUUUCUUCGUGCCUAAUACAUGCAAGUCGAGCGAACAGACGAGGAGCUUGCUCCUCUGACGUUAGCGGCGGACGGGUGAGUAACACGUGGAUAACCUACCUAUAAGACUGGGAUAACUUCGGGAAACCGGAGCUAAUACCGGAUAAUAUAUUGAACCGCAUGGUUCAAUAGUGAAAGACGGUGUUGCUGUCACUUAUAGAUGGAUCCGCGCCGCAUUAGCUAGUUGGUAAGGUAACGGCUUACCCAGGCGACGGUGCGUAGCCGACCUGAGAGGGGGCUCGGCGACAGUGGAGGUGAGCCACGGCCCAGACUCCUACGGGAGGCACCAGUAGGGAAUCUUCGGAACGGUGCGAAAGCCUGACGGAGCAACGCGGGGGGAGUGAUGAAGGUCUUCGUGCCGUAAAACUGUGUUAUUGGGGAAGAACAAAUGUGUAUGUAACUAUGCACGUCUGGCCGGUACCUAAUAAGAAAGCCCCGGUGAAUUCGGU
Molecule: ribosomal RNA, 496 nt
Filed under: uncultured bacterium
Lineage: Bacteria
Description: partial 16S ribosomal RNA
Rfam family: Bacterial small subunit ribosomal RNA
Source: RNAcentral